RNAcentral lists this ribosomal RNA (329 nucleotides) under uncultured eukaryote. RNAcentral describes it as "partial 18S ribosomal RNA". It matches the Rfam family "Eukaryotic small subunit ribosomal RNA", at positions 1470 to 1796 of the family's 1831-position model. The record is from RNAcentral.
CCCUUAGAUGUCCUGGGCCGCACGCGCGCUACACUGAGUGUCUGAGAUACGAGUCUGCCUGGUCCGGCAAGGUCUAGGUAAUCGCUAAAAGACACAUCAUGCUUGGGAUAGAUUAUUGCAAAUAUUAAUCUUGAACGAGGAAUUCCUAGUAAGCGCAAGUCAACAGCUUGCGUUGAUUACGUCCCUGCCCUUUGUACACACCGCCCGUCGCUACUACUGAUUGGAUGUUUAAGCGAGGUUCUCGAACUGCUAGCGGCUUAGCUUCGGUGAGGUCGCAGUGUGGGAAGUGAACCUAGCUUUGGUGUCUAGAGGAAGUAAAAGGCGUAACA